This 253-nucleotide ribosomal RNA is filed under the name uncultured bacterium. Its description in RNAcentral is "partial 16S ribosomal RNA". It matches the Rfam family "Bacterial small subunit ribosomal RNA", at positions 524 to 776 of the family's 1533-position model. The record is from RNAcentral.
UACGGAGGGUGCAAGCGUUGUUCGGAAUUACUGGGCGUAAAGCGCGUGUAGGCGGCCUUUUAAGUCUGAUGUGAAAGCCCGGGGCUCACCCCCGGAAGUGCAUCGGAUACUGGGAGGCUCGAGUACCGGAGAGGAGGGUGGAAUUCCUGGUGUAGCGGUGAAAUGCGUAGAUAUCAGGAGGAACACCAAUUGCGAAGGCAGCUGGCUAGACCCGGAUUGACGCUGAGGCACGAAAGCGUGGGGAGCGAACAGG